Salarias fasciatus (jewelled blenny) is the source of this 601-nucleotide long non-coding RNA. RefSeq lists it as uncharacterized. The transcript is spliced from 4 exons. The record is from RefSeq and is a predicted model, not a curated record. Lineage: Eukaryota; Metazoa; Chordata; Actinopteri; Blenniiformes; Blenniidae.
CUCCUUCAUGGGACUGACAGACAUGUGGCGCCGUCCUGACAGUGUGUCUGUGCAGGAUAGUGUUUGGCCUCCCACAAAGCUAUGAAUUGACGGGGAGCUGGACCGCCCAGGAGUCUGUGUGGGAGCGGUGUGUUUCUUGCAGCCGCCGCCGCUGCUGUAUUGGGCUGUGUAUGCUCUCCUUCAUGCUGCCAGUGGUGCAGUCAUCAGCUGCAGUUGACCCCGGGCUUUACUGCUGUUUUGGCUCUCCUUCUCUGGAUGUGCUUGACACCUGCUCGUCGCACCACGGCCUCCUCAGUGCACCCUGCUGCCCUCGGGGCCUGAUGGACCACCCAGGCUCCUUAAGAAGUGUGGCUCUCCUGCAUCGAGCCUCGGAGCUUGGGCAUGCGCCGUGCUCGGGUGCUGGGGGCCCUGGAGUGGCAGCGGUUCCCUGGUGGUGGUCCCUUUUUCACUUUUUUGUUUGCUGUGUCACAGGUGCUGUGUGGUUUUGGGAUCCUCCCCCCUUUCUGUUACCGCUGUCGUGGUAAGCCCCAUCCCUGUCCAGUUUGGUUUUGUUUGGCAGGCCUCAAACCCCAUUUAUUUUGAGUUAGUCUGUUGAUUUUAA